RNAcentral lists this ribosomal RNA (254 nucleotides) under uncultured bacterium. Its description in RNAcentral is "partial 16S ribosomal RNA". It matches the Rfam family "Bacterial small subunit ribosomal RNA", at positions 524 to 776 of the family's 1533-position model. The record is from RNAcentral.
AACGUAGGACGCAAGCGUUAUCCGGAUUUACUGGGCGUAAAGCGCGUGCAGGCGGCCUGUUAAGUCGGACGUGAAAGCUCCCUGGCUCAACCGGGAGAGGUCGUUCGAAACUGGGAGGCUGGAGGGCAGCAGAGGAGUGUGGAAUUCCGGGUGUAGUGGUGAAAUGCGUAGAUAUCCGGAGGAACACCAGUGGCGAAGGCGGCACUCUGGGCUGUACCUGACGCUAAGACGCGAAAGCGUGGGUAGCGAACGGG